Suricata suricatta (meerkat) is the source of this 108-nucleotide small nuclear RNA. NCBI's taxonomy places the organism in Eukaryota, Metazoa, Chordata, Mammalia, Carnivora, Herpestidae. The record is from Ensembl.
GUGCUCAUUUUGGCAGCACACAGACUAAAACUGGAAUGAUACAGAGAAGAAUCAGCAUGGCCCCUGAGCAAGAAUGACACACAAGUUUAUGAAGCAUCCCAUAUUUUU